AUUGAACGCUGGCGGCAUGCCUUACACAUGCAAGUCGAACGGCAGCACGGGUGCUUGCACCUGGUGGCGAGUGGCGAACGGGUGAGUAAUACAUCGGAACGUACCUUAUCGUGGGGGAUAACGCAGCGAAAGCUGUGCUAAUACCGCAUACGCCCUGAGGGGGAAAGCGGGGGAUCGCAAGACCUCGCGCGAUUAGAGCGGCCGAUGCCUGAUUAGCUUGUUGGUGGGGUAAAAGCCCACCAAGGCGACGAUCAGUAGCUGGUCUGAGAGGACGAUAAGCCACACUGGGAUUGAGACACGGCCCAGACUCCUACGGGGGGCAGCAGUGGGGAAUUUUGGACAAUGGGGGCAACCCUGAUCCAGCGAUGCCGCGUGAGUGAAGAAGGCCUUCGGGUUGUAAAGCUCUUUUGUCAGGGAAGAAACACCGUCUCUAACACAGUCCGGGAAUGACGGUACCUGAAGAAUAAGCACCGGCUAACUACGUGCCAGCAGCCGCCGUAA
This 501-nucleotide ribosomal RNA is filed under the name uncultured bacterium. RNAcentral's name for it is "partial 16S ribosomal RNA". It matches the Rfam family "Bacterial small subunit ribosomal RNA", at positions 30 to 523 of the family's 1533-position model. The record is from RNAcentral.